CACCAAGAAAAUUCCUCUCUCUCCCUCUCUCUGUCUCUACAAUUUCAGCCCUUCACUCGCCACUCUCUCUCAUCGUCUCAGAAUCGAUGGCAGCCACACUGAUCUCCAUCUCCUAACUCAUACAUCUCUCUCUCGAUCAUAUAUAUUAUGCCUUCUGUUGUUCUCAUCAUCUAUACUAUAUUACUAAUCUGUUCCACACCUGAGCAAUCACUCUUUACAUUCUUCAAUCAACAUCAUCAUAAUCAUCAAACUUCCAAAUCUUCACCUCCGAUCUUCAAGAAUCGGAGCUUCAAUUUCCUGAUUUCCGAACUCAAACUCCCAACGCUAAUCACCAAUCACAACCUCUCACACUCUUACUCUUUCCACAAGAUCAACCUCUUCUUCGGCCACUUGCUUCGUCGCAAUCAAAUCCUAAGCGUCCGAUUCAAACCCUAGUUUCUGCAAUGAGCUUCUUGAGGCCCUCUGUCUUGUACCGGUUUUUGUUGGUGACUUACCAUUCACUCCGAUGGAUGCCUUGUCAGAGCUGGGUGUUUCUUCGCUGUCCUAGUCUUGACAGUUUUAUUCGCCUUCUCAUCAUUGUGCUUUUAUGGUCUAUGUUUUCUGAAAUUCGAUACAUUACAUCUUCGUCCAUGUACCCAACUCUUCGUGUUGGUGAUAGGAUCAUCGUUGAAAGGGCUUCAUAUUACGUCAGGCGUCCUGCUAUACAUGAUAUUGUUAUUUUUCGAGCUCCUGCACAGCAACCUGAGUUCAUGGAGGAAGAGAUUUUCAUUAAAAGAAUAGUAGCGAGAGCAGGAGACUCAGUUGAGGUUCAUCACGGGUCACUUUACGUCAAUGGGAUUGCUCAGAAUGAAGAUUUUAUAGCAGAACGACCAACAUACCCAUUGAAUCUAAUCACUGUGCCUAGAGGUCAUGUUUAUGUUUUGGGUGACAACCGUAAUAACAGCAAUGAUUCGCAUAGUUGGGGACCGCUUCCUGUAAAAAACAUUGUUGGAAGGUUUGUCAUGCGUUGUCACAAGCCUUCAGGCACCAGUCCACAUGAGGACAAAAGAUGAACAUGAGAUUGAAGGGGAUCCUUGGCUUAAUUUCAACCAUGACGGGUUUGGGUGACAUUUAUAUAUUAGGUUCCUUGGAAUAAUUGUAUCGGAUUGGCGAGAACUUGUAAUCCAUUUAAAUUCAAGAAGUUAGUUGGCUGCUCUGCCUGUGGAUAAGGAAGAGAUUGGGAAGCAUCAUCAGCAUCUUCAAUGAAUGGAUCUGUCUGUGUUGAUGAAGUUGGAUCAUUCUGGAAUUCUGAAAAUUGGCAUAUCAUCAAGUAGGUGUAGGUUACAAAUUGGGAUUUAAUCCUGAAUGACUCAUCCAACUCAGACAAAUCAAUUCACUCAACCAUAUACCCAAAAUGCAGCGCCAUUGCUUGUUAAGAGAAAUAUUUUAGUGCAGACUGCCCUAUGAAUAUAGGGGUGGACUAAGGAUCCAUUGAAUGGCAAAUUGGGGAUAAAAAAUUGUUGUAAAUUGGGCUAAUUUGUUAACACUAAUUAAGUAUUUUGAUUUGUACUGUGUGAUUCAACUUGCAAAAGGCAGGGCACGAAAAUUGUUUGGUUGA
This is a non-coding RNA of Camellia sinensis, 1597 nucleotides long. The record is from RefSeq and is a predicted model, not a curated record. NCBI's taxonomy places the organism in Eukaryota, Viridiplantae, Streptophyta, Magnoliopsida, Ericales, Theaceae.